CCUACGGGGGGCAGCAGUGGGGAAUAUUGCGCAAUGGGCGAAAGCCUGACGCAGCGACGCCGCGUGAGGGAUGAAGGUCUUCGGAUCGUAAACCUCUGUCAGCAGGGAAGAACGGUCACUGUGCUAAGCAGCAGUGAAUUGACGGUACCUGCAAAGGAAGCACCGGCUAACUCCGUGCCAGCAGCCGCGGUAAUACGGAGGGUGCGAGCGUUAAUCGGAAUUACUGGGCGUAAAGCGCUCGUAGGCGGUAUGUCAAGUCAAGGGUGAACUCCCCGCGCUCAACGUGGGAACUGCCUUUGAAACUGGCAAACUGGAGUGUGUGAGAGGGUAGUGGAAUUCCAGGUGUAGGAGUGAAAUCCGUAGAUAUCUGGAGGAACAUCAGUGGCGAAGGCGACUCUCUGGCACAUACCUGACGCUGCGGAGCGACCGCGUGGGUAGCAAACAGGAUUAGAUACCCGAGUAGUC
This 465-nucleotide ribosomal RNA is filed under the name uncultured bacterium. Its description in RNAcentral is "partial 16S ribosomal RNA". It matches the Rfam family "Bacterial small subunit ribosomal RNA", at positions 338 to 795 of the family's 1533-position model. The record is from RNAcentral.